GUAUUAGGUUGGUGCAAAAGUAAUUGCAGUUUUUGCCAUUGCUCUUAAUGGCAAAACUGCAAUUACUUUU
Macaca nemestrina (pig-tailed macaque) is the source of this 70-nucleotide microRNA precursor. The record is from Ensembl. Lineage: Eukaryota; Metazoa; Chordata; Mammalia; Primates; Cercopithecidae.